Molecule: ribosomal RNA, 253 nt
Filed under: uncultured bacterium
Lineage: Bacteria
Description: partial 16S ribosomal RNA
Rfam family: Bacterial small subunit ribosomal RNA
Source: RNAcentral
UACGGAGGAUCCAAGCGUUAUCCGGAUUUAUUGGGUUUAAAGGGUGCGUAGGUGGGCUGAUAAGUCAGAGGUGAAAGCUAGCAGCUUAACUGUUAAAUUGCCUUUGAUACUGUUAUUCUUGAGUAUAGUUGGCGUUGGCGGAAUGUGACAUGUAGCGGUGAAAUGCGUAGAUAUGUCACAGAACACCGAUCGCGAAGGCAGCUAACGAAACUAUCACUGACACUGAUGCACGAAAGCGUGGGGAGCAAACAGG